RNAcentral lists this long non-coding RNA (309 nucleotides) under Equus caballus (horse). RNAcentral's name for it is "lncRNA (ENSECAG00000056030.1)". The record is from RNAcentral. Lineage: Eukaryota; Metazoa; Chordata; Mammalia; Perissodactyla; Equidae.
AGAGAUUUAAGAAUUUCACAAAAGGAUCUCCAAUGGUCCACAAACAAAUUAGAAGACAUUCAACCUCCUUUAGUCAUCAGGGAAAUGCAAAUUAAAACCACAUUGUGAUACCACUACGCACCCACCAGAAGAGCUAAAAUUAAGACGACUGACAGUUCCAAGUAUUGACAAGGACGUGGAGCAAUUGAAACUCUCAUGCGUUAUUGACAAUUCCAGGGGACGAACUUGCUAGGCUCCUGUGGUCCUCUCAGGCACCACGGCCCAGGAAGGUCACCUCACUGAGACGUGAUAAAAAUCAAUGACAUCGUG